Molecule: ribosomal RNA, 439 nt
Filed under: Pikelinia tambilloi
Lineage: Eukaryota; Metazoa; Arthropoda; Arachnida; Araneae; Filistatidae
Description: partial 16S ribosomal RNA
Rfam family: Bacterial large subunit ribosomal RNA (bases 194-439)
Source: RNAcentral
UUCUUAAAGAAAUAAUUUUAAGUAAAUCCUGCUCAAUGAAAAUUAAAUAGCCGCAGAUAAUACUGUGCUAAGGUAGCAUAAUCAUUAGCCUUUUAAUUAAAGGAUGGAAUGAACGGAAUAACAUUUUAAAAACUUUUUUAAAAUAAUAUUAUUAAAUUUUUCUUAAAGUAAAAAAACUUUAAUACAAAAAAAAGACGACAAGACCCUAUCGAACUUCACUUAAGUUAACUGGGGCGGUUAUAUUAUAAAAACUAAAUAUCUUAAAUAAAACAAAAGACCUUAAAUUUUAAAAUUCAUGAACAAGUUACCGUAGGGAUAACAGCAUAAUUAUUUUUAAGAGAUCUUAUCAAAAAAAUAAAUUGUGACCUCGAUGUUGAAUAAUUACCUGUAUUAUGAAAAUAUAAUAUAAGGAAGACUGUUCGUCUUUUAAAUUUUUACA